RNAcentral lists this ribosomal RNA (253 nucleotides) under uncultured bacterium. RNAcentral describes it as "partial 16S ribosomal RNA". It matches the Rfam family "Bacterial small subunit ribosomal RNA", at positions 524 to 776 of the family's 1533-position model. The record is from RNAcentral.
UACGGAGGGUGCAAACGUUGCUCGGAAUCAUUGGGCGUAAAGCGCACGUAGGCGGUCCGGUAAGUCGGGUGUGAAAUCCCUCGGCUCAACUGAGGAAGUGCAUUCGAAACUGUCGGACUUGAGUAUGGAAGAGGGUCGCGGAAUUCCCGGUGUAGAGGUGAAAUUCGUAGAUAUCGGGAGGAACACCAGUGGCGAAAGCGGCUUCCUGGUCCAGCACCGACGUUCAGGCACGAAAGCGUGGGGAGCAAACAGG